AGUGAACGCUGGCGGUGGGCCUAACACAUGCAAGUCGAACGGCAGCACAGUAAGAGCUUGCUCUUACGGGUGGCGAGUGGCGGACGGGUGAGGAAUACAUCGGAAUCUACUUUUUCGGGGGGGAUAACGUAGGGAAACUUACGCUAAUACCGCAUACGACCUACGGGUGAAAGCAGGGGAUCUUCGCACCUUGCGCGAUUGAAUGAGCCGAUGUCGGAUUAGCUAGUUGGCGGGGUAAAGGCCCACCAAGGCGACGAUCCGUAGCUGGUCUGAGAGGAUGAUCAGCCACACUGGAACUGAGACACGGUCCAGACUCCUACGGGAGGCAGCAGUGGGGAAUAUUGGACAAUGGGCGCAAGCCUGAUCCAGCCAUACCGCGUGGGUGAAGAAGGCCUUCGGGUUGUAAAGCCCUUUUGUUGGGAAAGAAAAGCAGCAGGUUAAUACCCCGCUGUUCUGACGGUACCCAAAGAAUAAGCACCGGCUAACUUCGUG
RNAcentral lists this ribosomal RNA (492 nucleotides) under uncultured bacterium. Its description in RNAcentral is "partial 16S ribosomal RNA". It matches the Rfam family "Bacterial small subunit ribosomal RNA", at positions 29 to 507 of the family's 1533-position model. The record is from RNAcentral.